Molecule: long non-coding RNA, 1119 nt
Organism: Oncorhynchus kisutch (coho salmon)
Lineage: Eukaryota; Metazoa; Chordata; Actinopteri; Salmoniformes; Salmonidae
Exons: 3
Source: RefSeq, a predicted model, not a curated record
GUGUUUGAGCCGGCGGUUCCACAGCCGGGGAUGCCUUUUUCACGUGAAACAGGUCAUUAGUAACCCGUUACAGAAAGCUAGGCGUAUGUCGCAUGUCAUUACUUCACAGGCGAGGCAUUGGUUGAAGCCGAGUUAUUUUGAAAGCGUUUCAGACAAGUCUGCUGUGAAUCAUCAUAAUCCAUAUACUAUACCGCAUAAACCUGCUCUCCGCCACCAGUACAAGGAGAUGAAAAGGAGAGCCGCACACGGAGCUCAGAUGCAAUCAUUAUUAGAACCAACGUUUUGACAACCAAGCUGUCUUCGUCAGGCCUGGUGUUGUUGUAGCCAAGGAGCUUUCACUCAGAUGGAUCCAGGUUUCAGCUGCUGUGCAAUGUUGAAGUCCUUCCUCCCAGAUAUGUAAAAGCAUCCCCCGGACGAGACACAACCCGGCAAACCUAGAUUUUUGAGAAGAUCAGAACAUUUGCAAUGAAAAGGCCAUUUACAUGUCCUGCUCUAAAGGCUGGGUUCCUUUCUUCAUAUCAUAACAUGACCUGAACCACAGUUACUCAGAGGAUCUUAUGAUUUACUUAGAUAUUGUUUUUUACCUUGAUUAUACAACAAUAGGGAAUUUCAUACAGUAAAUGGUUUGGCUAAUGGGGGUAACUUGGUGAGAUAAUGUUCAGAGAAUCCAUUUAGGCAAUUUGGUGAAAGUAUUCCUUCUCUAAAUAUACUGUAUGUUCUCCAAGGAUUAAUGUAGGUCAGGUGUGAAAAUGACAGCAAAAUGUUUGAAUGCCUUUUUUCUCCUAAAUUGGAUAUUAGAUUUUUCUACUUUUAAAACAUCAUUACUUCCACGUUUCCUCCAACUAAAGUGUAUGAUAUGCCCUUUUGAAGCUCUGUCCAAAACACAAUUUGAAAUGUUUUAACAUUUAGUAAUCAACAAAUACAAAAAUGAUGGGGCAAAAAUAACCAAAAAAUAAGAGAAAGCUACAUGACAAUGCAGUGCCAUAAAAACAAGUUCACAAACUUUCCGCCGUGUUGAGAUGGAUCUGCACCCGUGUUGAGACUGCCGGGGAGAUGUAGGCUUUCUCCUAUAGAGCUCCAUUUUUAUGGAACGGUCUGCCUACCCAUGUCAGAGACGCA